CAACAAAGAAAAGCUCGCUGGGCAGCGCCAGCUGGCUCAUCUGGUAAAGGAGAACCUUGAGGCCGGGAAGCUUCCAGAUAGAGGCCGCGCGCUGGCUCAAGCAGCCCCGGGCACCUGCAGGCCUCUCCAGCCAAGGGCCAGGCCACCGUCACCAAUCGGCAGUUGUCCCAGGGGCAGAGACACAGCCCGGAUGGGUGCAGGGAACGACGGGCCUGCACGGCCCCACCGCCGGCACCGAGCCUCGCUGGCCCUGCUUCAUCUUCGUGGGCACGACGCCGCCUCGUGCACAGCGGUCUGGGGAGGACACCGCCAUGCCUCCCAAGGUCUGGACCAGCCCGGCCUGGGGUCUCUUCCAAGGACACCCGUGUCCCUCCGGCCGACAUGGCAGCCGUGAACGGAGCAGCUGUGCGGGUGUCCUGGCCGGGCCUGGCCCCCUCCCCCCAGCCCUAGCGCCGGGCCAGGGGCUCAGGGAGGUGCCUGACGACCGCCCCCACCUGGCCCAGGGCCUUGCCACGUAGGAAGAGAGAGAGGCCCGUUGGUUACGUCGUCGAAAACACUGGCGGGAAGUCACAUUUCCCUUUUGUGGAGGCAGCUGAGAGGCCUGGCCUGAACUCCGGGGUCUCCAGGGCUUACGCCCAAGAGACAGGGGCUGGUGACCGGCCUCCCCUACCCUCCAGCUUAUGGGGAGCUCGGGAGCUUCCCAAAGAGCUCAGCCCCACCCUCCCUCACACCCGGGGGGCUCCCGGGUGCCUCCAAUAAAGCCCCAGCCCCUCCCCACCAGCUCCGGGGCCCUGAGAGUCUGGCCUCCUGCCCCUCUUAUCCCUAGGCCACCGGGCUCCCCGACGCUCUCACGUGCUGACCCUCGCUGGACACGCCCGGCGUUCGCCCCCGCGCUGCCCUUCUUCACUCUCCGAGUCUUGGCUGGAGUGUUUCCUUCCCGGAGAAACUUCCCUUCAGCCACGUGGUCUGCAUCGGCUCCCCUCUUCCCAACCUCACCAUUUCCUGUUCCCUCGUUUUCCCUCACAGUGUGUGUCCUGACCACA
Molecule: long non-coding RNA, 1043 nt
Organism: Felis catus (domestic cat)
Lineage: Eukaryota; Metazoa; Chordata; Mammalia; Carnivora; Felidae
Exons: 2
Source: RefSeq, a predicted model, not a curated record